GUGAAUCAUCAAAUCUUUGAACGCAAAUUGCACUCUCUUCGGAGAGUAUGCCUGUUUGAGGGUCAGUAUUAAUAAAAAUCGGUGUGUUGCUUCUUUGUGACGCUCCGGAGUUUGGGUCAUCUUAAUAUCCUUUAGGUUUUAAGAGGCUUAAAAUUGACUUUUUUUGUGCAUUUUAGAUGUACAUAAAUUCUUUUUUAUAUUUCUCUCUCUUUAUUCACAAUAUUCUAUUAUAUGACCC
Molecule: unclassified non-coding RNA, 238 nt
Filed under: Rhizophagus sp. (in: glomeromycetes)
Lineage: Eukaryota; Fungi; Glomeromycota; Glomeromycetes; Glomerales; Glomeraceae
Description: partial contains 5.8S ribosomal RNA and internal transcribed spacer 2
Rfam family: 5.8S ribosomal RNA (bases 1-65)
Source: RNAcentral